RNA transcript from Capsicum annuum, 2707 nucleotides. RefSeq lists it as uncharacterized. The transcript is spliced from 6 exons. Lineage: Eukaryota; Viridiplantae; Streptophyta; Magnoliopsida; Solanales; Solanaceae. The record is from RefSeq and is a predicted model, not a curated record.
AAAUCAAAUAAUAAAAUUAAAAAAAAUAUUUCAUCUCUUAAGUUAGAUCAUAUAUCAAUUUUAAAAUCAACUCAACUUAUCAGGUGACAGUAUUCUUAUUAUAUAGCACUUUCAACAAUUCAUUUACAAUAGUGAAUCGCUACAAUGAUAGAAUCGCUACAAUGAUGAUUAGGGCUGUCGGUGUACUCUUUGCUAAAAUUGCUAACGACAAUCGCUACAAUUGCUACAAAUGAUUCAAUCUUGUGGAGAUGAUCUGGUUGUGAGCUGCCGGUGGUGAGCUCUGCGCGAUUUACUGGUGCCGCUUCAAAAAUUGAUUUGUGUUGGAAAGUCAGACUAAAUUUGCACUUCAAUUGCUUCAAUUUGGGAAUUUUAAGAGUUGAAAAGGUAUAAAGCUAUUGUUCUUCGAAUUGAUAGUCCUGGAGGUGAUGCUCUUGCUUCUGAUUUGUAAGUCCUGUUAUGUGAUGGAUCUUUCCACUGUGUGCACCAUGAUGUUUUUCUACAAAUGUGGAGAGAAAUCAGACUGCUGGCAGAAUCUAAACCUGUUGGUAUUCACAGAUCAGUGACGAGUGAUUCCAGCUACAGUGGAAGGGCUCGUAGAGUUUUUUCUUGACACUAAAGCACAGGAGAUUGAGUUUGAGGUUGCAAGACUAAGACCAGGAAGCCUAUGAUAAAUUGCAAGCAAAUCUCGUAGCAACAAGGAAGAACUUAAUCGAUAUUUUUACUUCAAAGGAUGUCAAGGCAACUCUGUUGGAUUCGGUUGAGAGGAAUCAACUGAAUAGACCCUUGUUGACGCUUCUUGAUGAAAACAUCACAACUGCACAUAGUGCUAACCAUGUGAGACAAGCAAAUUCCAUAAAAUACAGAUAAAAAUUUUGUGGGAGUGAUGAUGCAUGUUUUUGAAAAUGUUUGUGCAACAUAAGAAAUAACUGAAACUUAUAUAGAAAAAUAUGAUUCGAAAAGAAAGAAGAGGUAUCUUUUUGAACUGAUUAUCAAUAACUGACAUAUAAAUCCACAUAAUUUUCCACAAUUUCAGUGUACUUCAUGGUUGUCCUGUGCUUUCUCCUAAUAGUAAUAUCAUCGAUCCAAAGAAAAUAAUAAGUUGAAAAGCCACCUUGCCUAGAUUGAGAAUUGGUUGGAUAGAAAUGGUAAGGUCAGUUUUCAUUUCUUGAUUUGUUGGUAGUAACAAUCUGUUGGUAGAACUUCUCUUGCUUUUUUUGUGUACCUGCUGCUGAUUAGCUGGUGAAAGUUUGGUAUUGUUGCCUGAUAUUAUUAGUUUGGUAUUAUGUCCUGAAAGAAUAUAAAGAUGAUCCCCCCUUUAAGCUUGGGCCAGCUAAGAAGUUUCUCCAAGUGAUGCUUGAUAUACUUUUUGCAUUCAAAAGGGUAGAUGCUAUGUUGUACAUAUCAAAUUUUGAUUAUGAGGUUGACUACCUCAAAAAGUCAUUUGAAACUCUGGAGGUAACUAUUUAAGGUCAUCUUCAACUUUCCGUUGUAUAUUGAGUUCUCUAAUAAUCACUAAACAGAUCUGAUUUUGAUUUGAUAGAAGAAAGGUUUGUGUAAGGUUUUUCUGUUAAACAUGUUAAAUAAGUAAAUAUGUUGGUACGUAUGGGCUAUGACAAAUGAAACUCAGAAAUAGUACUCCCUCCGUCCUAUUUUAUGUGUCGCCAUUUGACCGUGCACGGAGUUUAAGAAAUAAGGGAAGACUUGGUAAAGUUUACCAAAUCAUCCUUUAUCAAAAAAUUUGUCAAUAUCUCUUUUUUUUAAUUAAGUGGGACCAAUAAGGGUAAUUGUGCCUUUAAAAAGUUUUCAAAUAAGGAAAGGCGAUACUUAUUUUGGGACGGAAUAAAAAGAAAAUGAUGACACAUAAUUUGAGACGGAGGGAGUAUUAUGUGAUUUUGGACGUGCUGUUGCAUCAGCAUUAUAGGACAUCUAAUUGUUAGACUAGAGAAUAAUCAAGUUUUUUCAUCUUGAACUGUCUGAACACUCUUGUGCUAAACUUGGAAUGUGUUUUUCUUUUGAACUGAUGCUAACUGGAUCACAUAUAUUAAACCUAUAUAAAUGUGAAGAUGCAGUUUUCUCUUAUUUAUUAAUAUGAACGUGAGUAUAACUUGGUUGAAGUCCGUUACUCUUCAACUUUGAGGUUAGAGUGAGCAUGUCACCUUUUUUGUUUCUUCAUGUUGAAAGAUUACUUGGAAGAAAGGGUGACCAUUGUGCUUAGAAUAAUUGGAUCUUUGGUUGAGUGAUAAAACAGAAAAUCAGCGCCCGUUUGGCCAUAGAUUUUUGAAGUUGAAACUUGAAACAUGAAAAGUUGAGUUUUUGUAGUUGUGUAGAGCCAAAUUAUAAUAUAGGAAUGAAUACAAAAGAUACAUUGCUAGCUAUCUCCAAUUAGUUUGGGACUGAGGUGUUGACUACUAGAUAUUCCUCUCCCAUCCUUACCGAUACAUCACCUUGACCUUUUUAUCUUCCUUUCACCCAAACCAAAAAGGCAUUAGCUCAAUUUCAAUUGUUCUUUAAGUUCUAUCAUCUCACAUUUAGAUGUUUGUAUUUCUUUCUAACCAUGAUUGGUUGAUUUGCCUCUUCACUAGCUAACUUAUACGUGGUUUAUAUACUUAUUUUGUUGUGGAAUAGUCCUUUUUAUGUUGUCAUUUAAGUCCUAAUUUAUAUUAUUUGUUCUCUUUUUAUAGGUGUCCAAAAUGAAGAAAGAGAUGAA